AUUGAACGCUGGCGGCAGGCCUAACACAUGCAAGUCGAACGAGUGGCGGACGGGUGAGUAAUGUCUGGGAAACUGCCCGAUGGCGGGGGCUAACUACUGGAAACGGUAGCUAAUACCGCAUACCAUCGGAUGUGCCCAGAUGGGAUUAGCUAGUUGGUGGGGUAAUGGCUCACCUAGGCGACGAUCCCUAGCUGGUCUGAGAGGAUGACAAGCCACAGUGGAACUGAGACACGGUCCAGACUCCUAGGGGAGGCAGCAGGGGGGAAUAUUGCACAAUGGGCGAAAGCCUGAGGCAGCCAUGCCGCGUGAAUGAAGAAGGCCUUCGGGUUGUAAAGUACUUUCAGCGAGGAGGCGUGACUCGCAGAAGAAGCACCGGCUAACUCCGUGCCAGCAGCCGCGGUAUAC
This 405-nucleotide ribosomal RNA is filed under the name uncultured bacterium. RNAcentral's name for it is "partial 16S ribosomal RNA". It matches the Rfam family "Bacterial small subunit ribosomal RNA", at positions 30 to 526 of the family's 1533-position model. The record is from RNAcentral.